This 1182-nucleotide ribosomal RNA is filed under the name Candidatus Phytoplasma sacchari. RNAcentral describes it as "bacterial SSU rRNA". It matches the Rfam family "Bacterial small subunit ribosomal RNA", at positions 182 to 1365 of the family's 1533-position model. The record is from RNAcentral. Lineage: Bacteria; Bacillati; Mycoplasmatota; Mollicutes; Acholeplasmatales; Acholeplasmataceae.
UCUUUUAUUUUUAAGACCUUUUUCGGAAGGUAUGCUUAAAGAGGGGCUUGCGUCACAUUAGUUAGUUGGCAGGGUAAAGGCCUACCAAGACUAUGAUGUGUAGCUGGACUGAGAGGUUGAACAGCCACAUUGGGACUGAGACACGGCCCAAACUCCUACGGGAGGCAGCAGUAGGGAAUUUUCGGCAAUGGAGGAAACUCUGACCGAGCAACGCCGCGUGAACGAUGAAGUAUUUCGGUAUGUAAAGUUCUUUUAUUGAAGAAAAAAAAAUAGUGGAAAAACUAUCUUGACGAUAUUCAAUGAAUAAGCCCCGGCAAAUUAUGUGCCAGCAGCCGCGGUAAUACAUAGGGGGCGAGCGUUAUCCGGAAUUAUUGGGCGUAAAGGGUGCGUAGGCGGUUUAAUAAGUCUAUAGUUUAAUUUCAGUGCUUAACACUGUCCUGCUAUAGAAACUAUUAGACUAGAGUGAGAUAGAGGCAAGUGGAAUUCCAUGUGUAGCGGUAAAAUGCGUAAAUAUAUGGAGGAACACCAGAGGCGUAGGCGGCUUGCUGGGUCUUUACUGACGCUGAGGCACGAAAGCGUGGGGAGCAAACAGGAUUAGAUACCCUGGUAGUCCACGCCGUAAAGGAUGAGUACUAAGUGUCGGGAUUACUCGGUACUGAAGUUAACACAUUAAGUACUCCGCCUGAGUAGUACGUACGCAAGUAUGAAACUUANAGGAAUUGACGGGACUCCGCACAAGCGGGGGAUCAUGUUGUUUAAUUCGAAGAUACACAAAAAACCUUACCAGGUCUUGACAUACUCUGCAAAGCUAUAGCAAUAUAGUGGAGGUUAUCAGAGAUACAGGUGGUGCAUGGUUGUCGUCAGCUCGUGUCGUGAGAUGUUAGGUUAAGUCCUAAAACGAGCGCAACCCUUGUCAUUAGUUGCCAGCAUGUCAUGAUGGGCACUUUAAUGAGACUGCCAAUGAAAAAUUGGAGGAAGGUGAGGAUCACGUCAAAUCAUCAUGCCCCUUAUGAUCUGGGCUACAAACGUGAUACAAUGGCUGUUACAAAGAGUAGCUGAAACGCAAGUUUAUAGCCAAUCUCAUAAAAGCAGUCUCAGUUCGGAUUGAAGUCUGCAACUCGACUUCAUGAAGUGGAAUCGCUAGUAAUCGCGAAUCAGCAGCGCAGAAACCUAACUCAAAAA